Ictidomys tridecemlineatus (thirteen-lined ground squirrel) is the source of this 71-nucleotide non-coding RNA. Lineage: Eukaryota; Metazoa; Chordata; Mammalia; Rodentia; Sciuridae. The record is from Rfam.
GUGGUUGUGGCUCAGUGGUAGAGUGCUCGCCCAGCAUGCGUGAAGCACUGGGUUCGAUCCUCAGCACCACA